GAACGUCGUGAGACAGUUCGGUCCCUAUCUGCCGUGGGUGUUGGAAUGUUGAGAGGAUUUGCCCCUAGUACGAGAGGACCGGGGUGAACGUACCUCUGGUGGAGCAGUUGUCGCGCCAGCGGCAGUGCUGCAUAGCUAUGUACGGACGGGAUAACCGCUGAAAGCAUCUAAGCGGGAAACCCACCUCAAAACGAGCAUUCCCUUGAGAACCGUGGAAGACGACCACGUUGAUAGGCCGGAUGUGUAAGUGCGGCAACGCAUGUAGCUUACCGGUACUAAUCGUUCGAUUGGCUUGAUUGCUCUCAUUUU
This 309-nucleotide ribosomal RNA is filed under the name Verrucomicrobiota bacterium. Its description in RNAcentral is "bacterial LSU rRNA". It matches the Rfam family "Bacterial large subunit ribosomal RNA", at positions 2614 to 2925 of the family's 2925-position model. The record is from RNAcentral. Lineage: Bacteria; Pseudomonadati; Verrucomicrobiota.